Canis lupus familiaris (dog) is the source of this 504-nucleotide long non-coding RNA. RefSeq lists it as uncharacterized. The transcript has 2 exons. Lineage: Eukaryota; Metazoa; Chordata; Mammalia; Carnivora; Canidae. The record is from RefSeq and is a predicted model, not a curated record.
AAUCCCUCUUUGUGUCCCUCUGAGAAAGAAACAAUAAUCGCUUUUUUUUUUUUUUUUUUCUGAGAGGAAAGUUCAAGAGCACAAGUGGUUUUAGUUAGGGAUUCAAUAAACACUUUGGCAGGAAUGAGAAAAGCAGUGGAGAAAAGACCUAGUGGCUCUUCCAGUUCUAACCAAAAGUGGAUAUUCUUGUGUGAGGAAAAACCCAGCAGAGUGAAUGCGAAGAGGGAGCUACCUCUGUCCUUUGCUGAUACACCAGGCAACUUAAAUCUACAACGUCCUUCUCCUCGGUGGUUUAUUUUAAAGAGUUGCCAUUAUCAAGAAAUGAUUGUUACUGCAAGGCAGUUGGCAAACACCUGGAGACUCUUUCCCGGAGGUACUGCUGAGCCUCAGGACAAAGCCAUCAUAUUAAGUCUUCAUUAACAGCAUGGCGGCCAGCUCUUCCCUUCCCCAAGCCAAAUUCUCAGACUUCAAAGAGCUCAAAAAUAAAAGGGUACUUAAAGGAAA